GAGUUUGAUCCUGGCUCAGAACGAACGCUGGCGGCGUGCUUAACACAUGCAAGUCGAACGAGAAAAUUUCCUUCGGGAAGCGAGUAGAGUGGCGCACGGGUGAGUAACGCGUAGGUAAUCUAUCCUAAUAUUUGGGAUAACAUCGGGAAACUGGUGCUAAUACCGGAUACCCUUCAUUGCUGCUGGGCGAUGGAGGAAAGGUGGCCUCUUCAUGAAAGCUACCGUAUAAGGAUGAGCCUGCGUACCAUUAGCUAGUAGGUGGGGUAAUGGCCCACCUAGGCACCGAUGGUUAGCGGGUCUGAGAGGAUGAUCCGCCACACUGGAACUGGAACACGGACCAGACUCCUACGGGAGGCAGCAGUGAGGAAUAUUGCGCAAUGGGGGAAACCCUGACGCAGCGACGCCGCGUGAGUGAGGAAGGUUUUCGGAUCGUAAAGCUCUGUCAGAAGGGAAGAAGUGUUAUAUGGUUAAUACCCGUAUAAUUUGACGGUACCUUCAGAGGAAGCACCGGCUAACUCCGUGCCAGCAGCCGCGGUAAUACGGAGGGUGCAAGCGUUGUUCGGAAUUACUGGGCGUAAAGGGCGCGUAGGCGGCCUGCUAAGUCAGAUGUGAAAGUCCACGGCUCAACCGUGGAAGUGCAUUUGAAACUGUCAGGCUUGAGUAUCGGAGGGGAAAGUGGAAUUCCCGGUGUAGAGGUGAAAUUCGUAGAGAUCGGGAGGAACACCGGUGGCGAAGGCGACUUUCUGGACGAAUACUGACGCUGAGGCGCGAAAGCGUGGGGAGCAAACAGGAUUAGAUACCCUGGUAGUCCACGCCGUAAACGAUGUGAACUAGGGA
Molecule: ribosomal RNA, 837 nt
Filed under: uncultured bacterium
Lineage: Bacteria
Description: bacterial SSU rRNA
Rfam family: Bacterial small subunit ribosomal RNA
Source: RNAcentral